Molecule: ribosomal RNA, 253 nt
Filed under: uncultured bacterium
Lineage: Bacteria
Description: partial 16S ribosomal RNA
Rfam family: Bacterial small subunit ribosomal RNA
Source: RNAcentral
UACGUAGGGUGCAAGCGUUGUCCGGAAUUAUUGGGCGUAAAGAGUUCGUAGGCGGUCGUUCAAGUCGCGUGUGAAAGCCCCCGGCUCAACUGGGGAGGGUCACGCGAUACUGAUCGACUCGAAGGCAGGAGAGGGUAGUGGAAUUCCCGGUGUAGUGGUGAAAUGCGUAGAUAUCUGGAGGAACACCGGUGGCGAAGGCGGCAUCCUGGACCAACACUGACGCUGAGGAGCGAAAGCGUGGGGAGCAAACAGG